RNA transcript from Rattus rattus (black rat), 3315 nucleotides. It is a transcript of the gene named pyruvate dehydrogenase kinase 1, with no coding region annotated. The record is from RefSeq and is a predicted model, not a curated record. Lineage: Eukaryota; Metazoa; Chordata; Mammalia; Rodentia; Muridae. The transcript has 12 exons.
CCGCGGCCGGCCGCGGCCCGCCACGUCCCGCACGUAGAGCCCGGGCAGCGGCAUAGAGCGGCAGGUUGGCGCCGGGAGCCCCGGCUCCUCCGGCGGGGCUCGGUAUGAGGCUGGCAAGGCUGCUGCGGGGCGGCACGAGCGUCAGGCCGCUCUGUGCCGUCCCCUGCGCCAGCCGUAGUCUGGCCUCGGACUCGGCCUCGGGCUCCGGGCCGGCGUCGGAGAGCGGCGUUCCGGGCCAGGUGGACUUCUAUGCGCGCUUCUCGCCGUCGCCACUCUCCAUGAAGCAGUUCCUGGACUUCGGGUCAGUAAAUGCUUGUGAAAAGACCUCGUUCAUGUUUCUUCGACAAGAGUUGCCUGUUAGAUUGGCAAAUAUAAUGAAAGAAAUAAGCCUCCUUCCCGAUAAUCUUCUCAGGACCCCAUCCGUACAGCUGGUACAAAGUUGGUAUAUCCAAAGCCUUCAGGAGCUACUUGACUUUAAGGACAAGAGUGCUGAGGAUGCUAAAACUAUUUAUGAAUUCACAGACACAGUGAUAAGGAUCAGAAACCGGCACAAUGAUGUCAUCCCCACCAUGGCCCAGGGUGUGACUGAAUACAAGGAGAGCUUCGGGGUGGAUCCUGUCACCAGCCAAAAUGUUCAGUACUUUUUGGAUCGGUUCUACAUGAGUCGCAUCUCAAUUAGAAUGCUACUCAACCAGCACUCUUUAUUGUUUGGUGGAAAAGGAAGUCCAUCUCAUCGAAAACACAUUGGAAGCAUAAAUCCAAACUGCGAUGUAGUCGAGGUUAUUAAAGAUGGCUAUGAGAAUGCGAGACGGCUUUGUGAUUUGUAUUACGUUAACUCUCCUGAACUAGAACUUGAAGAACUAAAUGCGAAAUCACCAGGACAGCCAAUACAAGUGGUUUAUGUUCCGUCCCAUCUCUAUCACAUGGUGUUUGAACUGUUCAAGAAUGCAAUGAGGGCCACCAUGGAGCACCAUGCAGACAAAGGCGUUUAUCCCCCGAUUCAAGUUCACGUCACACUGGGGGAGGAGGAUUUGACUGUGAAGAUGAGUGACCGGGGAGGUGGUGUUCCGCUGAGGAAGAUCGACAGACUCUUCAACUACAUGUACUCAACUGCACCCCGGCCUCGUGUUGAGACGUCCCGUGCGGUGCCCCUGGCUGGAUUUGGUUACGGAUUGCCCAUAUCACGCCUCUAUGCACAGUACUUCCAGGGGGACCUAAAGCUGUAUUCCUUAGAGGGCUACGGGACGGAUGCUGUCAUCUAUAUUAAGGCUCUGUCAACGGAGUCCAUCGAAAGACUCCCUGUGUAUAAUAAAGCUGCCUGGAAGCAUUACAGAACCAACCACGAGGCUGACGACUGGUGUGUACCCAGCAGAGAGCCGAAAGACAUGACGACGUUCCGAAGCUCGUAACUGCACGUGGGACGCCCGGCAAAGCCAGAUGUGGUUUUUGCCAAACUUGGAAGAGAGAUGUAUUUGGAACCACAUUGUACCAAAUAUGUCAUGUGUGAUUUUUCACAAUCAGUGUUUGCUAAAGCUCCUAAAGGAUCAAUUAUAGCAACUUUAUUCUGAUAUGUUUUGUUAAUUGGGCGUGUUUUGUUUUUGUUUUUUUUUUUUGAACGCACAUAAUUUUGGUCAGCUUCCCUUGGUGUGGUAUGGAGUGUGAAGUCCCUGGUUUCUGUAGGAAGCUCAGUGUUUCUUCCAGGUUUUCCUUUAUGUCCGCUAGAAGCGCCUGAAGAACGUGGAGGAGCUGGUGAGCGGCCUCUCUGCUUUUGGAGUUCUGUCAUCGGUGAGUGGUGACACCUAAUCAGACGGUCGUCUUACCUCCCACGAAGCAGAACACAGCAGUCCGUUAGAAGCCACACAGAUCGUCCGAGUGCUGAAAUUAAUUGAUCAUGGCGUCCUUUUAUUGCAGUGGAUCGUAACGACUGGCUCCCCACGGAGCAAAGCCCAGAGCAUGAGUAGCGAGCUUCUAGUCAACGCAAGGGACUUUCUUUACAAACAGAGUCUCACUGGGUAGCCCCAGCUGCCUUGAGUUUACAUCGCCCUUGGCGUCCUGAGAGCUGGGAAGGGUGUACCACCACAUCUGGCUUAGAAGAGAAAUGUCAUCCCCAAAGCCAGCCACGUGCCAGCAGAGAAUAAACUGGGAGGCACCAAGUGGCCAGACCGAGCCGGCUGACUGUUGAGAUUUUCUGAUUAUCUGAGCUUUUGACGAGAGUGAGUUUCUCUGGGUCUGACCCAGGCACCCAGAGACUGAAGGUCAGAGAUGAGGUGAGGCUCAUGGCUGACUAGCUGGCUGGAAGUACACUCGGGAGUGAAUCGUGACUGCUGUUGCCAGAGUGACAGACUGGAUUGGGAAGCGUGGGUGCCCCAUUUUCAGGUCAGGUUGCUACACUUCCAGGGGACAUAAUCUGACUCUCAGGCCUGGUGCAGUCUAAAGUGUUAGCAGCUGGGGGAUGAUGGUCACCACAAGAGGUCAGGUGACGAAGGCUCAGCCACCUUGGUUUUAAGUGGCGACUAAGGACAUAUACUUUUCUAAACUAUCCAGGUUUUUUUAAUCAAAGAAAAGUCCGUUUAUAUUGAUUACAGAAUCCCUUUGCAGCUAGCUGUGUGGUGAUUGAAAGUCUGCAACCAGUGCUUUGGUGUACUGAUGGUAUUUGUGUCGAAACAGAACUAUGGAGCAGGUACGACAGCUCGGUUCUCUCUCGGUGACCCAAAGUCACACAGAAUUGGAGCCACAGCCUGAGCUAUCUCUGCUGAUCACCAUCCACUGUCUGGAAUAUUCUUACCUCUCUCUUAAGCGAUGGAGAACUCCUUGGGAAACACGCUUCGCCACAUACCUGGAGGGAUCUGGGGGUUUGGUUUGGAAAACGUCGUGAGUUGAAACAUGCCACUCUUGACAGGAUUUACCCAAUUAUCACUCUGUGCCCCACAAAUAUAUAUACAUAUAUAAUACAAAAGCCAAGUCAUGCAACAUGGCACAGAAGAGGAUUUUGAUACCAAAUGAUAGGGACGUGUAGUCUGAGCUUGCUCCAGGGUGGCCAGGCCAGAAUCCUUAUGUGAGAGGUGAGGAGCCUGGAACUUGUGUCCUAUUGGCCCAGGGCUUUUUAACUAAUACUACCAAAUGUUGGAAAAUACACACCUUAUCCCUGCUGUUCCUAAUCGAGGACUUUGUAAGAAAUAAUAGACUCUGUUCACGAGUGACAUUUAUUCAGUGUAUCGCACUUACUAGCUUUAAAUUACAUUUUACUGCAAUGGUGAAAUAUUUUGGAAUCUUUUGUACAACCGUCAAUAAACGUACUAUUUUUAAUUUGUGAAA